This 253-nucleotide ribosomal RNA is filed under the name uncultured bacterium. RNAcentral describes it as "partial 16S ribosomal RNA". It matches the Rfam family "Bacterial small subunit ribosomal RNA", at positions 524 to 776 of the family's 1533-position model. The record is from RNAcentral.
UACGGAGGGUGCGAGCGUUGUCCGGAAUCACUGGGCGUAAAGGGCGCGUAGGCGGCUUCUUAAGCGUGUGGUGAAAGCUCGGGGCUCAACCUCGAGUCGGCCAUGCGAACUGGGAGGCUUGAGCACUGUAGAGGCAGGUGGAAUUCCGGGUGUAGCGGUGGAAUGCGUAGAGAUCCGGAGGAACACCAGUGGCGAAGGCGACACGCUGGGCCGUACCUGACACUGAGGCGCGAUAGCAUGGGGAGCAAACAGG